UGGGAAGCCACCGGUGUCUGCCCAAAGCCCACAGCAGAGACUCAGCCCGGAGCUGUUUCUGCUCAGCCCAGUCACGUUUACUUGACAUUUUUGGAACUGUCCGCCUUGUGUAGAUGCAAUACUGACAGAGAGAGCAGCCUCUUUCACAGCUACCCAACUUAAAAUACAGCACUUACCCCUGCUUCCCUAUGGACUGCCAUUUUAAGCUAAUUAUAUACUGGGAGCUUUAUUUCCUGAAAAUGUACAUUGCCUUACUGAGAGCACCUGUGUACACCUGGAAUGAGACAGUAGCUAAUGAUUUAUGUGGGACAGUAACAACGGCUGCUUUUGCUGGAACCAUGCCAUAACUUAGUGUCUGCUGCUCUGCCCUGCUGGGUCAAGACAACACAUCCGUCAC
Molecule: long non-coding RNA, 397 nt
Filed under: Gallus gallus (chicken)
Lineage: Eukaryota; Metazoa; Chordata; Aves; Galliformes; Phasianidae
Description: long non-coding RNA NONGGAT002128
Source: RNAcentral